RNAcentral lists this ribosomal RNA (401 nucleotides) under uncultured bacterium. Its description in RNAcentral is "partial 16S ribosomal RNA". It matches the Rfam family "Archaeal small subunit ribosomal RNA", at positions 473 to 873 of the family's 1478-position model. The record is from RNAcentral.
ACACCGGCAGCCCAAGUGGUGGCCAUUUUUAUUGGGCCUAAAGCGUUCGUAGCCGGCCUGAUAAGUCUCUGGUGAAAUCCCGCAGCUUAACUGUGGGAAUUGCUGGAGAUACUAUCAGGCUUGAGGUCGGGAGAGGUUAGAGGUACUCCCAGGGUAGGGGUGAAAUCCUAUAAUCCUGGGAGGACCACCUGUGGCGAAGGCGGCUAACUGGAACGAACCUGGCGGGGAGUAACGAAAGCCAGGGGCGCGAACCGGAUUAGAUACCCGGGUGGUCCUGGCCGUAAACGAUGUGGACUUGGUGUUGGGAUGGCCUCGAGCUGCCCCAGUGCCGAAGGGAAGCUGUUAAGUCCUCCGCCUGGGAAGUACGGUCGCAAGACUGAAACUUAAAUGAAUUGACGGGG